Molecule: ribosomal RNA, 253 nt
Filed under: uncultured Caldilinea sp.
Lineage: Bacteria; Bacillati; Chloroflexota; Caldilineae; Caldilineales; Caldilineaceae
Description: partial 16S ribosomal RNA
Rfam family: Bacterial small subunit ribosomal RNA
Source: RNAcentral
AACGUAGGAGGCGAGCGUUAUCCGGAUUUACUGGGCGUAAAGCGCACGCAGGCGGGUCGGCAAGUCGGAUGUGAAAGCUCCUGGCUUAACUGGGAGAGGCCAUUCGAAACUGUCGGGCUUGAGGUUGGGAGAGGGGUGUGGAAUUCCCGGUGUAGUGGUGGAAUGCGUAGAUAUCGGGAGGAACACCUGUGGCGAAAGCGGCACCCUGGCCCACACCUGACGCUGAGGUGCGAAAGCGUGGGUAGCAAACAGG